ACUCUUAAAUAAAGAUGCUUGUGGGUGCUUGAUUUCAGAUUAUAAGGUGUCAAUAGUGAUUUGGGUUUUGCUGUUUUGAGUAAUAAUUCACAGAGCAUAGUAGCUGUAACACAUUAAGAAAAACACGCUAUUUAAGAAUAUAGAAAUGUUUUGCUAUGCAUAAGACUUUGUUCCAUGUACUAAACUGUUAUCCUGUCUUUAACCAUAUCGUAACAUAUUUCUGCUUUCUUUGGACAGAUUUAGGUUGCAACGAUAUGUCUCAGCCAGCUGGGGUUUCAUUUUUCACCUCUAGCAAGGGCUAUGCUACCGAAAUUAAAGCAAAAAUGAACUACAAACCGAAAGAAAGAAAGCGGAUACAAUUGAGGUCAGUAGCGGGUGAUCAUUGUAUCAGGUAGGUGCAAUUAUUGCGAAACAGCAUAUUGUUGCAAUUUUGGAAACAAUGACAUUGCUUCAGUCAACAAUAUAAAAUUCGUUGCUGAAACUGCUACCUUAUUCUCAUAGCAAACACUAUUAGGGAUGAGAAUCUGCCAAUAGGGUAGCCUCGAGUCCUUUUUCCUGUGGAAGUUAAAACAAUAGCUAUAUAUUUGUGAAGAGAUUAUUAAUCAGUUAUGCUUAAAUUUCGAAUUUCAACUCUGCUCAAUCCUGUACUCGGCCCACUUGUCUUUAUAUGAUGUUAAUAAAAUGAACCUAGCAUUCAGUUCGGGUGUUAGGUUUUCAUAUGUUCUUGUAGAUUUACCGAUGCGUAAUUUGUUAUAGUAUGAGCUUGUCUGGUAUCAUGAUUGGCAAUGUGAUAUUUUUCAUAUGUUUUAACCAAUUCCUAAUUGGUUAUGGUAUGAGUUUCAUGCUUGGCAAUAUGAUAAUGUGAAUAUUAAUUAUCUACUUAAUACUCAGAUAUCUCUCAAUUUUUUGAUGAGAAAUAUAUCAACAGCAGUAGUAACAAACAAGUAUUAUGAUGUGAUUAAACUGAUCUGGAUGCCUCUAAUCCCUGUUUUGUAAAAAACUGCUCCAUGGUCUACUGAAAUGAUAAAAUUACAUAUUGUUCCCUUCUGCACUUUUCUUCUGUUUCAAAUUUUGAUGCAUGCCUGCUCACCGAUAUUUUUCCUGAUAUACUAGGUUUACACAAACCAAGCAAUGAUCGCUUUUGUGACACAGAUCACCAACCAAUAUGCUAGGAACAUACUAGGAACUUUCUACUGAGCUGCCUCAUCAGCCCAAAGAUCUUACAGAUCGGAAAAGAUUUUGUAGGGGUUCACGAGCUAAUUGGCAUGAAGAAACGGUUGGAAAAGGGAAAACACCGGUGAAGUUAGGAACAUGCCAUUAGGAGGGGUAAGCCCAAAGUUGUAGGUCCAGUCUCGAUUUUUCUAAGAGUACUGACGGAAGGGGGCAAGAAAUGCUUGCUUAAUCUGUGAAGAAAUGUUAACUUAAACUCGAGGGGAGGGUGAAUUCUGCUGCUGGCCAGAUGAGAAGUGCACUCCAGCCAAAGAUUCAUUGUGCUCACCAGCAUUGCUCUUUUGGCCAUCAAGAACUGUUGCAUACUCUGCGGGAUCAAUGACCUCAAAAUAUAUGUUCAAGUUUUUUGCUUGAUCCUCAAAGUUUUCUUUGCUUUCCCAAAGCAAUUGGUAAUCACUUUCAAGAAGCAGUUCAAGGUCAGCCUCCUGGUCCUUCACUAGCUUCACAGGAUCGAGUACAAUGCCAUUCUGAGCCUCUUGACCAUUCCCCUCCUUGCCUAUUUUGUUCUUCACCAUGCUCUUCUUUCUUUUCUCUUCAGAUUGCACGGGAUGUUGAGGCCCAGUGCUUGCAGUAUAGUGCAGAGACUGAGCAAGUGGAGAACCAAAAUUCUUUCUGUUUCCAGCUACAUUUCUUGUCAUAAAUGCAUUUGCACCAGGAUCAGACAAAGCAUCUGGUGAACUUAACCGGAACUGGAUAGAAUCUAUUGGGCUUCGCACCAUGAACUUUUCCUGAACACCACAGAAAUAUAAUAACACUAUUAAGGUUUGAGAAAGUCAUGGAAUCAGGUUCACACCAAGUUGAUAAAAUUAUUUACUGACCUCAUCAAAAAACCCGUGCCUGGGUGAUGGCUUGCGGAGGCCUGAAGGCUUGGAACUUGUUGGUGUUCCUCCAAAUGAUGAAAAUGAUUUACUGACAUCGUCAAAAAACCCAUGCCUAGGUGAUGGCAUGCGGAGGCCUGAAGUCUUGGAACUGCCUGGUGUUCCUACUUGAUUUUUGGGAAUUUUUAGGUCCUCCGGGAUUCUUGUUAAUAAUUAUUUUGUGAUUAGCUGAAUACUUUAUCACUUUACUACUUUGUAAUGUAAUAAUUGUUUUGAUAAAUAAUUAUGAUAUAAAUUGUUAAGGAUUAACACUCACUUUAAAAUUUCCUCUUAAUUCAAAACCAUCAAUGUUGUGAUUCUUGUACAUCAGUUCUGAUACCACUUGUUAGUCAACAACGCUUAUUAACUCCAUAUUAGUAUGAUAUUGUUUUAUGACGGCUUAUAUUGAGAAAAAUCUUUAUUUUUACGAUACGAGACUUGAGUUGACACUCCCUCGAGGUAGGAGUGGCACUGCCUUGCCCGGAGUGGCAUUGCCAUGCCCGCAUGGUUGGGGAAGCCCACAAAAGUAGGCGGGCAUCAACUGAGCAAGGUGAUGAACAUAUUUCAACAGUGACAUGUUUGCAAUAUGUAUGACAAUUUGCAGUUAGAUUUUCUCACUGUGAAAAUGAAAGCUGAGAAUCAUAUCAUUUGUUCAUCCGAUUGCUUUGUCUUUUCCUUUAAAUGGUCAGACCUUUUGGGAUGAUCAUUAACAAAUCAUAUGGCUCUUGAAAAUUGCGGCUGUACUGCAUCAUUAUUAAUAUUAUUAUUAUAUAUUUUAUAAAAAUAUAAAAAAUAAUAGACGUACACAUAUUUUUAGAUAUAGUUAAAUUUAUUUAUUUUUUAAGUUAAAAUAUAAAUUUAAUAUUCUUAUAAAUGAGCAAAGUUUAAGAAUAAUAAUUUUAAAUAUGUGUCAAUACUCUUAGAAAAAUUAUCAAAAAUUAAAACGUAAAUUACUUUAAAAACUGGGCGAGUACAGGACAGUAUUAAUGUUGUAAUAAUCUAUUUCGGAUUCAAACAAUGCUGAAGUCUAAACUCUAAAAUGCUAAUAGAAAUGACGAGAUCUCAAAAACAAACAGUAGAAAUUUCUUUAUUUAUUUACAGGAAAAUAUUUUUCUAACAAAUAUUUCUUAUUUUACAGCGUUUGUUUUCCGGAUAAUAUUUUUCUGAAGUCAAACAAACACAUAAAAAAAGGAAGAAAUUCUGAACACAUCUCUCAAAAAAUUAUACUUCAUAAAAAAUUUCCGAAAAUCAACUUAUUUUUAUUUUCCUUGCAGAUUUGAGAAAUCAGAGGGCGUUUAUUCGUGGGCCUGCUGUAAUAAUACAGAACAGAACAAAAUUUGUUUGGAGCUAAAUAGAAGGCGCAUGGGCCAAGUUGCAGUAUAGAGUGGGCUUCAUUUGUAGGGUAAAGCCCACAAAUCUUGCAAAAUAUGGUCGCAUUUGUUGACAUUCCAGAGGCAGUUGCUAAGUAAUACUCUACUUACUAGUUUGUUUUUACUAUAUUUCAAUUAACAAAAGCAUGCAUACUCUAUUUUCAACAAAUUUUUCUAUAAAUUGGCUGAAAUGCAGAUGAAAAUUCCAUGCAAACCAGUUCUAACUCAACAUAGGAACCUUUCAGUACUGUCCAACAUCCAUUUCAUUUUACUACUCUACUAAAACUCUAGCUAGUUAAUCAAGCAAUGGCCCGAAAAUACGCAGUUGCUGCUGCCUUGGUUUUGCUCUUUGUUGGCCUGAUGGCGCCUCCUGCUGCUGCUGCCCGGAAUCAGGAUGGUCUCUUAAGCGGUAUUUUAGGGAGUGGUGGGCGUUUGUUGAAUAUCCAAGGGAUACUUUACUGUACCCUCAAUGGCACUACUGGUCUCCUUGGCUCUGCCACACCAGUGUUCUCCGGUGAGCACUCCUACCAUCAUAAUUAAGUUCCUCAGAUAAUUAACAUGUAUCUUUUGCAUAUGAGGUCAGAUCCAGUAUACUUGUUUUUUAUUUGUUCUGCACUGACUUCGGGUCCUGACAAACGUAUGUUGCAGCAGACAUACCUUACCUAAUUACUUAUUAGGUAAGGUAUAGUGUAACAAACUAACAAUACAGGAGGGUCCGGGUCCACUUAUUAAGCAUGCUGCAACAUACGUUUGCAGUGUACCUGUAACGUUUUCAUAUGAUGCAUAAACUUGCUAGUUGUUACUAGAAAAAUGUAUUUAAUGUAUAAACAUCCCAUGCAAAUGCAGGUGCUGUGGUUCAAUUAAAGUGUGCAGCUGGAAAUAUAGUUUCGAGUACAACAACAGAUGCCAAUGGUGCAUUUUCCAUACUCUUGAAUCCACUUCAGUUUGUUCUGUCAAAUGUCCUACAGCAAUGCAAAAUAGUCGUCCCUACGCCACUCUCCAACUGCGACUCCACUCUCCCAGCCGUUGGAGGUCUGGUCUCCCAAUUACAGAUUGUUGGAAGUAUUCUUCUUGGCCUUCUCAACGUUCUAAAUGUGAUCCCGUCAGGUUUCAGUUUCUACCAGGUGCUCUGAUGAGCUACGCACAAUUACAAAGUGUUGCGAAUAUUAUCAAUAUAUCAUAUCCAUGAUGAAGUUGUAAGAAUUACUCUGUACUUUAUGAUAUCUGCCAACAGCAAUAAAACAAAAUAAAUUGGCUUACCGAAUCAUUGUCAUUGUAGUAUUGCACGCCUUGUACAUGUUCAUCUGAUGAAUAUCUUGGUCGAAGCAUGAACUAUAGACCAUGAGACCUCAUCAGCAAUCGAGCCUGCAGCUUCUCAAAAAAAAAAAAAAAAANNNNNNNNNNNNNNNNNNNNNNNNNNNNNNNNNNNNNNNNNNNNNNNNNNNNNNNNNNNNNNNNNNNNNNNNNNNNNNNNNNNNNNNNNNNNNNNNNNNNNNNNNNNNNNNNNNNNNNNNNNNNNNNNNNNNNNNNNNNNNNNNNNNNNNNNNNNNNNNNNNNNNNNNNNNNNNNNNNNNNNNNNNNNNNNNNNNNNNNNNNNNNNNNNNNNNNNNNNNNNNNNNNNNNNNNNNNNNNNNNNNNNNNNNNNNNNNNNNNNNNNNNNNNNNNNNNNNNNNNNNNNNNNNNNNNNNNNNNNNNNNNNNNNNNNNNNNNNNNNNNNNNNNNNNNNNNNNNNNNNNNNNNNNNNNNNNNNNNNNNNNNNNNNNNNNNNNNNNNNNNNNNNNNNNNNNNNNNNNNNNNNNNNNNNNNNNNNNNNNNNNNNNNNNNNNNNNNNNNNNNNNNNNNNNNNNNNNNNNNNNNNNNNNNNNNNNNNNNNNNNNNNNNNNNNNNNNNNNNNNNNNNNNNNNNNNNNNNNNNNNNNNNNNNNNNNNNNNNNNNNNNNNNNNNNNNNNNNNNNNNNNNNNNNNNNNNNNNNNNNNNNNNNNNNNNNNNNNNNNNNNNNNNNNNNNNNNNNNNNNNNNNNNNNNNNNNNNNNNNNNNNNNNNNNNNNNNNNNNNNNNNNNNNNNNNNNNNNNNNNNNNNNNNNNNNNNNNNNNNNNNNNNNNNNNNNNNNNNNNNNNNNNNNNNNNNNNNNNNNNNNNNNNNNNNNNNNNNNNNNNNNNNNNNNNNNNNNNNNNNNNNNNNNNNNNNNNNNNNNNNNNNNNNNNNNNNNNNNNNNNNNNNNNNNNNNNNNNNNNNNNNNNNNNNNNNNNNNNNNNNNNNNNNNNNNNNNNNNNNNNNNNNNNNNNNNNNNNNNNNNNNNNNNNNNNNNNNNNNNNNNNNNNNNNNNNNNNNNNNNNNNNNNNNNNNNNNNNNNNNNNNNNNNNNNNNNNNNNNNNNNNNNNNNNNNNNNNNNNNNNNNNNNNNNNNNNNNNNNNNNNNNNNNNNNNNNNNNNNNNNNNNNNNNNNNNNNNNNNNNNNNNNNNNNNNNNNNNNNNNNNNNNNNNNNNNNNNNNNNNNNNNNNNNNNNNNNNNNNNNNNNNNNNNNNNNNNNNNAUGAGCUUGUCUGGUAUCAUGAUUGGCAAUGUGAUAUUUUUCAUAUGUUUUAACCAAUUCCUAAUUGGUUAUGGUAUGAGUUUCGUGAUUAGCAUUGUGAUAAUGUGAAUAUUAAUUAUCUACUUAAUACUCAGAUAUCUCUCAAUUUUUUGAUGAGAAAUAUAUCAACAGCAGUAGUAACAAACAAGUAUUAUGAUGUGAUUAAACUGAUCUGGAUGCCUCUAAUCCCUGUUUUGUAAAAAACUGCUCCAUGGUCUACUGAAAUGAUAAAAUUACAUAUUGUUCCCUUCUGCACUUUUCUUCUGUUUCAAAUUUUGAUGCAUGCCUGCUCACCGAUAUUUUUCCUGAUAUACUAGGUUUACACAAACCAAGCAAUGAUCGCUUUUGUGACACAGAUCACCAACCAAUAUGCUAGGAACAUACUAGGAACUUUCUACUGAGCUGCCUCAUCAGCCCAAAGAUCUUACAGAUCGGAAAAGAUUUUGUAGGGGUUCACGAGCUAAUUGGCAUGAAGAAACGGUUGGAAAAGGGAAAACACCGGUGAAGUUAGGAACAUGCCAUUAGGAGGGGUAAGCCCAAAGUUGUAGGUCCAGUCUCGAUUUUUCUAAGAGUACUGACGGAAGGGGGCAAGAAAUGCUUGCUUAAUCUGUGAAGAAAUGUUAACUUAAACUCGAGGGGAGGGUGAAUUCUGCUGCUGGCCAGAUGAGAAGUGCACUCCAGCCAAAGAUUCAUUGUGCUCACCAGCAUUGCUCUUUUGGCCAUCAAGAACUGUUGCAUACUCUGCGGGAUCAAUGACCUCAAAAUAUAUGUUCAAGUUUUUUGCUUGAUCCUCAAAGUUUUCUUUGCUUUCCCAAAGCAAUUGGUAAUCACUUUCAAGAAGCAGUUCAAGGUCAGCCUCCUGGUCCUUCACUAGCUUCACAGGAUCGAGUACAAUGCCAUUCUGAGCCUCUUGACCAUUCCCCUCCUUGCCUAUUUUGUUCUUCACCAUGCUCUUCUUUCUUUUCUCUUCAGAUUGCACGGGAUGUUGAGGCCCAGUGCUUGCAGUAUAGUGCAGAGACUGAGCAAGUGGAGAACCAAAAUUCUUUCUGUUUCCAGCUACAUUUCUUGUCAUAAAUGCAUUUGCACCAGGAUCAGACAAAGCAUCUGGUGAACUUAACCGGAACUGGAUAGAAUCUAUUGGGCUUCGCACCAUGAACUUUUCCUGAACACCACAGAAAUAUAAUAACACUAUUAAGGUUUGAGAAAGUCAUGGAAUCAGGUUCACACCAAGUUGAUAAAAUUAUUUACUGACCUCAUCAAAAAACCCGUGCCUGGGUGAUGGCUUGCGGAGGCCUGAAGGCUUGGAACUUGUUGGUGUUCCUCCAAAUGAUGAAAAUGAUUUACUGACAUCGUCAAAAAACCCAUGCCUAGGUGAUGGCAUGCGGAGGCCUGAAGUCUUGGAACUGCCUGGUGUUCCUACUUGAUUUUUGGGAAUUUUUAGGUCCUCCGGGAUUCUUGUUAAUAAUUAUUUUGUGAUUAGCUGAAUACUUUAUCACUUUACUACUUUGUAAUGUAAUAAUUGUUUUGAUAAAUAAUUAUGAUAUAAAUUGUUAAGGAUUAACACUCACUUUAAAAUUUCCUCUUAAUUCAAAACCAUCAAUGUUGUGAUUCUUGUACAUCAGUUCUGAUACCACUUGUUAGUCAACAACGCUUAUUAACUCCAUAUUAGUAUGAUAUUGUUUUAUGACGGCUUAUAUUGAGAAAAAUCUUUAUUUUUACUAUACGAGACUUGGGUUGACACUCCUUCUAAAAAUGGAGAGAGGAGUGGCACUGCCUUGCCCGCAUGGUUGGGAAAGCCGACAAAAGUAGGCGGGCAUCAACUGAGCAAGGUGCUGAACAUAUUUCAACAGUGACAUGUUUGCAAUAUGUAGGACUAUUUGCAGUUAGAUUUUCUCACUGUGAAAAUGAAAGCCUUUAAAUGGUCAGACCUUUUGGGAUAAUCAUUAACAAAUCAUAUGGCUCUUGAAAAUUGCGGCUGUACUGCAUCAUUAUUAAUAUUAUUAUUAUAUAUUUUAAAAAAUAUAUAAAAAAUAAUAGAAGUACACAUAUUUUUAGAUAUAUUUAAAUUUAUGUAUUCUUAAGUUAAAAUAUAAAUUUAAUAUUCUUAUAAAUGAGCAAAGUUUAAGAAUAAUAAUUUUAAAUAUGUGUCGGUACUCUUAGAAAAAUUAUCAAAAAUUAAAACGUAAAUUACUUAAAAAUUGGGCGAGUACAGGACAGUAUUAAUGUUGUAAUAAUCUAUUUCGGAUUCAAAUAAUGUGAAGUCUAAACUUUAAAAUGCUAAUAGAAAUGACGAGAUCUCAAAAACAAACAGUAGAAAUUUCUUUAUUUAUUUACAGGAUAAUAUAUUUUAUUUUACAGCAUUUGUUUUCCGAAUAAUAUUAUUCUGAAGUCAAACGAACACAAUAAAAAGUUAUGAGAUCUACUAUUUUUGAUAAUAUUAUUAGAUUUUUAAAGUUUUAUCAACUAUUUUUUAUUUUAUUCAUUUUAAAUAUAAAUAAAUGAUAAAUAACUUUUUAAAAAUCUAAAAAUAUCAUCUACUAGAAAUCAAAUCUUACACAAAAAUACGCCGAGGGUUGCACAAAAGUUAGGGUUCUCGGAGAAGAAGCGAGCCUUUCAGGCUUUUUCCAGGCUGAGCUCCGGAAGAUAAAGUCCUCAAAAGGUAAGUGAAGCUCCAAAAAUCUCUCCGCAAUCAAAUUUCGAAUAAGACUCGUACUACUUGUCAGAUUUCAAAAAACAAGACGAGUCAGAUAACCUUGUUUCACAGUCAUUCACCGGUUCUUAAAAAGCACACAAUUAUGCCUGAAAGUUAGUUAAAUUAUCAUCUCGUAGGAUCCGAUAUGUUGAUCACACUUGAGUUAAAUUAUCAGAAGAUUCCUAAUCAACAUUAUCCUAAAUACCUGUUUUUCGAGAUGAUUGUGCAAUGUGAAGAAUACUGCAGGCCAAAUUAUCCUCCGGGCUUGAUUGACGAGUGUGCCUGGCGUGCAUUAUCGUAUGGUUUAAUCUGUGUGUCGACUAUGCUUUUUAAGUUUAGUGAUUCUACUAAGGAGAUAUAAUUGUGUAAUCUCUUCCCGAUUCUCCUCUUUCAAAUGGGUCCGGGUCCCUGGCAUAUAAUUGCCGGGGUUAUAUGCCGGGGACUGUUUAAUUAACCUAUAGUUUCUGGGCCGUUGAAUGAAUAUCCAGCGGUCAGGAUAAUAAUAAAACUUUAACAUGUUCAGCGCUUUUAAUAUAAUCCUGACCGCUGGAUAUUCAUCCAACGGCCCAGAACCUGUGUGUUCCUUAACUCCUCCACAGCCAUUAACAUUAAUGGCUGUGGAUCGCUACCCCUUUCAAAUAUAGAGACUCAGUGGAACGCUUUAGCGUUUGGGUUUGUGCCAGAAAUUAGUGAUUAUGUUGUGGUACAUAUUGUCAAACGUUGUUUGCAUUUGGGACGCGGUGAACCUGAUCCCCACUCAGUCAUCAUUGGUAUUUAUAGUCUAAACACUAAUUCUUGGAAGAAAAUAUGCCAAGAUAAGGUUUUUGUUUGUAACAUUAACUGGUUUGACGUUGUUUUCACUAAUGGUGCUGCAUUUUGGGCAGGGGUUCGUUUAAACAAGCAUAAAAUACUUUUGUGCUACGAUACCAAGACUGACAAACUUCGUCAAAUCUCAUUCCCUAACUGGAUUUUACAUAUUCCUGGUAUUCCUUUUAUUCAUCUACUUGGUCAAUCUAUUGCUUAUUUUGUUUGGGACAAUCAAUAUGAUUAUUUUGAUAUGUGGGUAAUAAAAUACUAUUCCAUAAAUGAGUUUUCUUGGGAGAAGAAGAUGAGUAUUCAUCCAAAUAAAGAUAUACGUGUGGAAGUCAUGGGUGUAAGGAACAAUGGUGAACCAAUUCUUGCAAGAUCAUAUAACUUGAUUUCAUAUAGUCUUGAUAACCACUUGGCAAAGAAUUUUGUUCAUUCAUGGGAUAGUUGGACUCCUUAUCCAUAUUAUGAGGAAGACUUUGCACCACCCUUUUUCAUUACGCCUUUUGUGGAGAGUCUCGUGUUACUUAAUAUUGAUUGAUGUGAUAGAACAAAAUAUCGAGUUGGAAACUUUCUUAGUGAAUGUCGAUUCCCAUGGAAAAUAACUUAUCAAUGUUGUGGAUUAUAUUUUUUAGAUUGUUUGUUAAAGUCUAUUAUUGUAGGCUUGGGGUUUACUGUUGUGUUAGGUUUGUGAGUGAUUAAUAGUUACUGUUAUUACCAAGGUUAUCAAUAUUUGUUUUAUGGUUUUUUGUUCUGUUAUUGAUCAACAGGUGGGACAAUGAUUGUCAUCUGUAAUUGAACAAGGAAAAUCGCCAUUGUAUAUAGCUGUUGAAGCUGGCAAAAUUGAGUAACAUGUAAUUUUUGAAUGAUGUUAAAUUGAGUCGAUCAGUGUUGGCUAAGAUAUGCAUUUCCUCGGGAAUGAAAAAGCCGCAAAGAGCUAAAGAUAGACUGGUCCAGUGUGGCCACACUAGGCCCAUUGGGUCGGGGAUCAUAAUUUUUAGCUUAUGUAGCAAAUGAGCUUGGACGGCUGAGAUGAAAGCCUGAAACGACGAAUGCUAGCGAUUGAGCUUGGACGGCUGAGAUGAAAGCCUGAAACGACAAAUGCUAGCGAUUGGAAUAAAUGAAAUCACAAUCCGAAUAAAGCCAAGAUACCCAAUCAGACUGUGCCACGUGCCCUUGUUUUAUGAGUAUAUAUAUUUCCCAAGUAGAGAGACUAACCCUCGAUCUAUACACGCCUCCCCGUCCACAGUUCUUCACUCUUCCUUAUCUGCAAAUCGCCCAUCUGCCCCGUUUCAGCUAAGGGCUGCCUACUCUAUUCUGAGUGAAUGGGUAUGUUCACUUCCUUAAAAAUCUUAUUCUUUUAUAAUCUUGCGCACACAUAAUCACAGUCUGUAUAUACAGUUACUAUAAAUCAAAGCAAUAAGUUAUAGAUAUGAUUUUUUUGUUCAGCUAAUUAGUUGCAAGUCAAUACAUAAUUUAUUUAUUUUUGCUAAUUGUCCUGUUUUACAUUUUAGGAAUUUCUGUUAUGCUCGAGUGCAUUCUUUAAUUCUUAAAUAAAGAUGUUCGUGGGUGCUUGAUUUCAGAUUAUAAGGUUUCAAUGGUGCCCUGGGCUUUUCUGUUUUGAGUAAUUAUACACAGAGAUAGUAGCUAUAACAUAUAACAAAAAACACGCUAUUUAAGAAUGUAGAAAUGUUUCGCUAUGUAUAUGACUUGGUUCCAUGUACUAAACUGGUAUCCCCUGUCUUUAACUAUAUAAUAACAUAUUUCUGCUUUCUCUUGACAGAUUUAGGUUGCAACGGUACGUCUCAGCCAGCUGGGGUUUUAUUUUUCACCUCUACCAAGGGCUAUGCUAGCAAAAUUAAAGCAAAAAUGAACAACAAACCCAAAGAAAGAAAGUGUAUACAACUGAUGUCAGUAGUGUGCAAUCAUUGUAUCAGGUAGGUGCAAUUAUUGUGAAACAACAUAUUAUCGCAAUUAUGGAAACAAUGACAUUGCUUCUGUCAACAAUUCCUACCUUAUUCUCAUAGCAAACACUAUUAGGGAUGAGAAUCUGCCACUAGGGUAGCCCUGGUUCCCUCCUGCACUUUUCUUCUGUUUUAAAUUUUGAUGUGCUUGCUCACCGAUAUUUUUCCUGAUAUACUAGGUGUAUACAAGCCAAGCAAUGAUCGCUUUUGUGACACAGAUCACCAACCAAUAUGCUAGGAACAUACUAGGACUGAACUUUGGAGGAAUACAGGCUUACUGACACUGAAGUCUGACUGGGCAUGUUUGAAAGGAAGGCUGCCAGUUUAAGCUCGUGUGAAGCUUAAAAGUAUUAUUCAUGCCGACUCUGACGUAUCAGGAAGAGCAAUCCUCUGGUCGGGCCUUUCAGAAAUUCAAAGAAAUUGAAUCCUGCUAGAUCUGGCAAUCAAUGCAAAAAGUCAAAGGUUUUAUAUUUCACUUCCACAAAAUUGUUACUUCAGUAGUUCGGUGUCUUGGAGAGAGCAGGAAUCCUUCAUUCACCCGCCGCACGGCACCGUGUACUCAAUUCCUGGGACUCUUAGAUGAUUCCAGAUUCUUAGGAUUUUUGUUGAUAAUUAAUUUUGUAAUUAGUUGCAUUCUUUUUCACUAUACUACUUUAUAAUGUAAUAAUUGUUUAUCAAAUAAAUAUAAUGUACUCCCUCUGUCCUUCCCAUUUUUUUACGGUUUUUUUGCACUGCUCGAUACGCAUUUUAACGCGCAUAUAAAACAUAGUUGUAUAACUUACUUUUGAAUAUUUUCUUUUUUGUGUAAAAUUGUAAACAUCAUAUUUUUAUUCAGAAGAAAAAAAAGUUCAAAAUAAUUUAUCAAAUUAUAUUUUAUGAGAGUAUUAGAAUGUAUGUCGAACCCCCGUCCCUCAAAGUAAACAAAUGAGGGGGACGGAGGGAGUAAAUGUUAAAGAUAAUUAAGAUUAUUUAGUUUAAAUAUAAAUGCAACUCUUAAAAUACAUGUGUAAUUUAUAUUUUUAAUGUAUGUUUGUCAAACCCCGCACCUAAAUCCUCAUAUAUUCCAAUUUGUCUAAUUUCUGUAUCCCCACACUCGCACUCGCACUCAUGCUUGCUAAUUUCAUAUUGUUCUGUAAAUGUCUCAAAUUCUCUGCUUUCUUUUCUCUAAACCUAAAUAGAUGGUAAACUUUAUAUUUGUGUCAUUACUCUUCGUCUCCUUGAUGAUUGUUCGGAUUCCCAAUUCGCCCAUAUGAUAUGCAAAUAGUCCACGUAAACGAUUUGUGCAUCUCAGAUUUCACAUUUUACUCCAGAAACAGCUGUCAUAUGCAAUUCCCCUUGCAUCCACUGAGGUCAUCAGAGGAACAAAUGGUCACUUGCGAAGGAAAAUAAACAAAGAACUGUGUGCAAAUUGUCUGUCUCCCAUGUCAUAAGUUGUUCAAAAUUUUAAUUUAAUCUACAAUAGCUUCGUGUAUUAAGAAAUUUGACGGUAAUUUAAAAGCAAUUAACGCUAAAAAUAAACUUGACUUGAUACGUAGUAUGAGGUCUAUAAUUACUGUAUCAAAAGGAAAAUUAUCUCCGGGACAUAGUUCAGUUCAUUACAAAAAUGAACCUAUUUUAGUUGCAGUUUUUUCUCUCCUUUCAUGUGAGAACUUUUUGAGUUUUCUCUCCUUUCUGUAGAGUAGAUUGUGAGAGGUGUGGCACCAUGACUAUGGUUAACAACGAUACAGAGAUGCAGUUGGCUGAGACGGACAUUGAGAACGAGAAAAAAGGUGAACUUAUUAUUGACAAGGAUAAUGCUACGUACCCAAAAUCUGUUCUCAAAACUUUUUCCCAAAUGACGUGACAUACAAGUAACUAAUUUUAAUUAGGUGAUUGAUGUGCAUACAGUGGAUCCCAUUAUUAUUAGUAUGAGAGUAACCAAUCAUACAUCACCAAUUGGAUUCGGGAAAAAAAAUUGGGAACAUUUUUGGGGUGCCUAGCAUAUUCCUAUUGACAAAGGGGUGGAGGAUGAGGUUAACAGGUUUGAACUCUUAUCUGGUGGGAACAUUUUUAACAGAGAAGAACAUCAAUGCGAGGGCAAUGAAAUCAAAAAUGGCUGACAUAUGAAAAUCUGUUGCGUAACAGACUUAACCUAUAUUUGCUGUUUUCUGUUUUGGUGCAAAUGCACAAUUUAUCGACUACAAAUCCAAUAUCAUACUCAAAAUUAAGAUAUCAGAAUCCUUACUACAAGAUGUAUGCAUUUUUUAUCACUUGAUCUUGGCCGGAGAAUCGAGAAACAUGCCAUCCAAAGAUUUAAGGAGCAAUGCAAGGGGUAAACAGUAAACUGAAACAGUGGGAAUUAUUUUUAUCUUGUGAAAUUUGAUGGAAUGGAAUUUAGAAGAGACGAAGAGAGUCUCUGGACCUCUAAAUACUCACACACAUCAACAAGCUUAUACUGAAGAUCAAUCUUUUUUUAUCUUUAGGAUGUGGGACCUAGAUUAACACUCACUUUACAAUCUCUUCUUAAUCCAAAAACCACCAAUAUUGUAAUCCUUGUACCGUCAUUGUUCAUCUGCUACUACUCUCACCAUACAAUAGAAGCUCGUAAUCCCAAAAUCAAUAUUUAACCAUCAGUUCUGAUACCACUUGUUGGUCGACCAAUAUUUAUUAACUUCACAUGAGUAUGAUAUUGUUCGGUGGCUGUUUAUAUUCAUAAAUCUUUAUUUUUACGAUAUGAUACUUGGAUUGACACCCACUCUACAAUCUUUUCGGCAAAAUUAUGGAGAGAGGAGUGGCACUGCCUUGGCAUUGCCUUGCCCACAUGGUUGGGAAAGCCCACAAAAGUAGGCGGGAAUCAACUGAGCAAGGUGCUGAACAUAUUUCAACAGUGACAUGUUUGCAAUAUGUAUGACAAUUUGCAGUUAGAUUUUCUCACUGUGAAAAUGAAAGCUGAGAAUCAAAUCAUUUGUUCAUCCGAUUGCUUUGUCUUUUCCUUUAAAUGGUCAGACCUUUUGGGAUGAUCAUUAACAAAUCAUAUGGCUCUUGAAAAUUGCGGCUGUACUGCAUCAUUAUUAAUAUUAUUAUAUAUUUUAAGAAAUAUAAAAAUAAUAGACGUACACAUGUUUUUAGAUAUAGUUAUAUUUAUAUUUUUUUAAGUUAGAAUAUAAAUUUAAUAUUCUUAUAAAUAAGCGAAGUUUAAAAACAAUAAUUUUUAGUAUGUAUCAAUACUCUUAAAAAAUUAUCAAAAAUUAAAACGUAAAUUACUUAAAAACUAGGCGAGUACAGGACAGUAUUGAUGUUUUAAUAAUCUAUUUGGAUUCAGACAUACUAAAGUCUAAACUCUAAAAUGCUAAUAGAAAUUACGAGAUCUUAAAUACUGGAAAAUAUUUUUCUAACAAAUAUUUUUUAUUUUACAGCAUUUGUUUUCCGGAUAAUAUUUUUCUAAAGUCAAACAAACACAUAAUAAAAGGAAGAAAUUCUGAACGCAUUUCUCUAAAAAUUAUACUUUAUAAAAAAAAUCCGAAAAUCAAUCUAAUUUCCUUGCAGAUCUGAGAAAUCAUAGGGCGUUUUUACGUGGGCCUGCUGUAAUAAGAAAAGUACAGAACACAACAAAAUUUGUUUGGAGCUAAAUAGAAGGCGCAUGGGCCAAGUUGCAGUAUAGGGUGGGCUUCAUUUGUAGGGUAAAGCCCACAAAACUUGCAAAAUGUGGUUGCAUUUGUUGACAUUACUAUAUACUAUAUACAUCCAAAUGGACUGGAUCCGAUUAUGAUUUUAAACUUUGAUAGACACCUAUAUACUAUAUACAUAAAUAAAUAUGAUGGAUCAAAAAAUGUUAGCAGUACUUUUUUUUUUUUUUGAACAAAAAUGUUAGCAGUACUUAAAAUUUAAGUAUAACAAUAUAUUAGCAGAAUAUUUUAUGGUCUAUUAUCCAUCAAAUAAAUGAAUCUUAAGAUUUAAAACUCCAAAUGAUAAAUGAUACUCCCUCCGUCUCAAUAUAUAAGUCCGUUUUAAUUUUUGACUAAUCAAAUUAAUUAUAUUUUGACAGGAAUUUAUAGAUAUAUAAUUGAAAAAAAAUUAAAAAAAUAUCAGCAAAAGGUAAAUCAAAUCUAUUUUAAUAUGUAACUUUUUAUUUUGUAAAACAACAAAUAAAUUAGUUAAUUUGGCUUUUGGAAAAACAAAAAUGACCUAUAAAUUGAGACGGAGGGAGUAUGAGAUAAAAUAAUUUAUAUAUACAUAUACAAAUUGGAUAGAAAAAAUAAAUAGCUAUCCAUGUUUUUGAAAAAAAGAAAAUAUUUUACAGCUUUGUCGGACCUCAUCAAAAAUAUUAUAUUUUUAUGCUAUACUUCAAAAUAAACAAAUACAAAAAAAUUAUUACACAGUUAUUUAAUCUCUACACCAAAAUUUUUAGAUAUAAUCUCAAAAAGACCCGAUGUUAAUUACCGUGAAAGAUUGCCGGCAAUAGACUGCUAGAUACCGGGACCCAAACUGGAAAUUUGCCCAAUAGCUUGCACAAAGGUUAGGGUUUAUAAGGCCUGACAAAUAUGCUCACGAUUGAUACUACUACGAAGAAGAAGGUGAGGCUAUCAGGCUUUUUCCAGGCUCAGCUCCGGAAGCUAAAGUCCUCAAAAGGUAAGUCAAGCUCCAAAAAACCUACCACAAUCAAAUUUCGAAUACGAUUAGUACCCCGAUUGUUAAAAACCCCAGAAUUAUGCCUGAAAUUCAGUUAAGUAUGCGGAGUAUUUGCGACUUACCUGAAGAAUGCUAUCAGAAAUACUCAAACUACUUCCUGUAAAAUAUAUAUAUUGCGGUGCAGGUACGUCCAGAAGCUGUGGUAUUAUCUCGUGAAUUCCUUUCUCUGCAGUAGAAACUCUUAAUUUAUGUUAUUUAUCUCUGCUUAAUAUCUUCAAUUUUAAACUAACAUUGGGCCCUAAGUAAUCUGAUUGGUUUCCCUACUUUUUCUUGCUAAGCAACCGGGCCCCUUUUCUCCAGCAAUGUACAUAAUUUUCUGAGGGUUAUGAAUUCAUUCCCUUGUUGAGUUUGUCCAAAUGGACAUAUAGAGCCUCAAAGAAACUUUCGGUACAUUUGUUCGAAUGUCCACCCCUUUCAGAAAAGUGACUAGAUAGUGUAUAAGGUAUGUUGUGUUCAUAUGUACUCCUAGAUUUUGGGCAAUCCAUGUAUCAAUUAAGCUUUAUUUUUGAAUGAUGUUAUUGAGUCGAUCAGUGUUGGCCCUGGUCCAGUGCGGCCACACUAGGCCCAUUGGGUCGGGGAUCAUAAUUUUUAGCUUAUCUAGCGAAUGAGCUUGGACGGCUGAGAUGAAAGCCUGAAACGACGAAUGCUGGCGCGAUUGAGCUUGGACGGCUGAGAUGAAAGCCUGAAACGAUGAAUGCUAGCGAUUGAGAUUGGACGGUUGAGAUGAAAGCCUGAAACGACGAAUGCUAGCGAUCAGAUUAAAUGUAAUCACAAUCCGAGUGAAGCCAAGAUACCCAUUCAGACUGUGCCACGUGCCCUUGUAUUACGAGUAUAUAUAUUUCGCAAGUAGAGAGCCCUCGAUCUAUACACGCUUCCCCGUCCACAGUUCUUCACUCUUUCUUCUCUGUAAAUAGCGCAUCUGCCCUGUUUCAGCCAAGGGUUGCCUACUCUAUUCUGAGUGAAUGAGUAUAUUCACUUCCUUAAAAAAUUUUUGUAUGUUCUUGUAGAUUAGCCAAUGCCUAAUUGGUUAUGGUAUGAGUUAGUCUACUUUCAUGAUUGGCAAUGUGAUAAUGUGAAAAUUAAUUAUCUACUUAAUUCUCAGAUUUCUUUCAAAUUUUCUAACGAGAAAUAUAUCAACAGCAGUAAUAACAAAGAAGUUUUAUUUUAUAAUGUGGUUAAACUGAUAUGGGUGCCUCUAGUCUUCUGUUUUGUAAAAAACUGCUACGGAAAUGAUAAAAUUACAUAUUGUUCCCUUCUGCACUUUUCUUCUGUUUUGAAUUUUGAUGCAUGCCUGCUAACUGAUAUUUUUCCUGAUAUACUAGGCGUAUACAAACCAAGCAAUGAUCGCUUUUGUGACACAGAUCACCAACCAAUAUGCUAGGAACAUACUAGGACUGAACUUUGGAGGAAUACAGGCUUACUGACACUGAAGUCCACCUGGGUAUGUUUGGAAGGAAGGCUGCCAGUUUAAGCUCGUGUGAAGCUUAAAAGUAUUAUUCAUGCGGACUCUGACAUACGAGGAAAAUCAAUCCUCUGGUCGGGCCUUCCAGGAAUUGAAUCCUGCUAGAUCUGGCAAUCAAUGCAAAAAGUCAAAGGUUUAUAUUUCACUUCCACAACAUUGUUACUUCUGUGGUUCAGUGUUUUCGAGAAAGCAGGAAUUCUUCAUUCACCCACCACACCGCACCGUGUACUCGAUUCCUGGGAUUCUUAGGUGCUUCAAGAUUCUUAGGGAUUUCUGUUAAUAAUUAAUUUUGUAAUUAGUUGCAUUCUUUAUCACUUUACUACUUUAUGAUGUAAUAAUUGUGUUAUCAAAUAAUUUUAAUGUAAAUUGUUAAAGAUAAUGAACUUAAUUAUUUGAUUAUUUGGUUUAAAUAUAAAUGCAACUUUUAAAAUACAUAUAUAAUAUAUAUCUUUAAUAUAUUAAUAUUUGUCGAAUCCCCCGCACCCGAAUCCCUGUAUAUUUGAAUUUGCUGAAUUCCCCCACCCACACCGGCACCCACACUCAUGCUUCCUAGCUUAAUGUGUUCUGUAAAUGUCUCUAGUUUUCUGCUUACUUUUCUCUUAGCCUAAAUGGUAAAGAAUCAGUUUAUAUUUGUGUCAUUACUCUUUGUCUCUUUGAUAAUUGUUCCGAUUCCCAAUUCGCCCAUAUGAUAUGCAAAUAGUCUUGUUGGCCUACAACUGUAGAUUAAAUUUAUGUUAAUGGAUGAUUGAGGCCUUAACAUAACAUGAUAUGCACUUAUGCUCAAUUUGAAAGGGGUUUCUGAUUUAAUCAUAUAUAGACCACAGAUGCAUGUCGCCUUACCCUGAAAUCAUAAAUGUCCAGGAUAUCUGAUAUCCUUAGUCCAGACAUUAUGACUAGACUGUAUGGUUUUGUUCAAAAACCAGAGAUGAACAACCGAGUGAAAAUUAGCAGUGUUUCUUGAAGUUAUCUUUUAAUCGUCAUAUUCUUUUUAGUGGUGUACAAAAAACCCAUUUCUCAGCUUGAUUGCACAGAUGUUGUGCUUCUACAUAUACUUUUUUUUUGUCAGUUAAAGUAACUUAUGGACUGGCUGAUGUGUUUCAGUUUGUAUUUCAGAGUUCAAAUAUGUUUUGACUCCAGUAAAGGAACAUUGUCAAUAAGGCAGACUUCAUCUGUCAAAGAUAUUGAAACUUCUCGUGCUAAGAACAAAAAGAAAAUGAGAGAAAUAGCAAGUGCAUCUCAGAUGUCAGGGCGUAGCCGAACUUAUGAUAUUCUACGUAAACUCAUAUUCCCUUAAGUUUCAUAUUUUGCUUUGCUGCUUUCCUAUUUUGUAAUCAUUUCUCUCUCUGAUUCACAUCUUUGUAAAUAAAUCUACUUGUCGGAUUGGUUUGCUGCUUACAAUUUCACAACUUACUCCAGAAACAGCUGACAUAUGCAACUCCCCUUGCAUCCACUGAGGUCAUCAGAGGAACAAAUGGCCACUUACGAAGGAAAAUAUAAAAGAACUGUGCAAAUUGUCAGUCUCCCAUGUCAGGCAAGAGCAUGGCCCUAAAGAGCUUGCUUUUCUUCUCAUUAUUUUGCACAAGAUAUUUCAGUUUGAUAUAUAGAGCCUGUUUAAAUUAGCUAAUUUAAACUAGGUACUUUCUGAGGAAAGCACUUUUGGUAUAAAACUAAUUAAAAUAAACAGAAGCAUUGAUUGAAUAGGGAUUUUCUUCAAUUAUUGUCAUAAGAAUUGAAGAUGUUGGAUGCUUCAGUUUAGACUUGACAAAAUUGUCGCCACAGUAUAAAUUUGUUUUCAUAAAUUGCUUUUAAUGAAGUCAACUUACAAUAUUAACUGAAAGGCAUUUCUAUGAUGCAGGUGUUGAGCUUGCUAAAGAUGCUAAACGACAGAAUCUGGAUGAUGGUUCUUUUUCCACUGUUUUGGAGUUCUAUAUUAAAUUUGCACCUGAGGACUCUGAGGAACCUCUUCCUACUGAUCCUGCUACGACUGCUUCCUGGAUGUAAGUAGGUUUAUCAUAUUUCACUAAAAAAAAAUCAGCUAAAUAAUUUUAUACUCCCUCCGUCCCUUCCAUUUCUUAACAGUUUUUUCAUUACUUGACACGCAUUUUAAGACGUACAUAAAAUAUAGCUCCAUAACUAUUUUGAAUUUUUUUUUUGUGAAUAAGAAUUUGAACAUUAAAAUUUUAUUUCGAAAGAAAAAAUAUUAAAAUAAUAUAUGAAAAUAUAAUUAUUUUUUUUUUAACGUAGGAACCCGCAGCCGCUACCCUUCGGGUGCGCACUGGAUAAACCCACGAGCUCUCUUUCCCAAAUGUUAACAACCUAGAGGGACUGAGGGAGUAAUAAUUUAAUUAUUAAACUAGACAACCAGAAUAUUAUUAUUGUUUCUUGCGAUUGUACUAAUGUUUAAUUGUAUUAAUUUGUAUAAGAAGUCAGAUAUAUGCAAUUUUACUAUAAAAAUGUGGUUUCAAGGUGUUUGCAUAGGUCGAUUUAGUAGAGCUGUAAGAACGAUUGGAGGGGCCUUGCUUUAUUGAAAAAAUUAUUGAUCUUAUGUUGCAAUCGAGUUUGAGCUUUUUUUUUUAAAAAAAAGUUUUGCUAAAGCAUUUUUACUUUAAGCAGAUCAAUAUAUAUAUAUAUAUAUAUAUAUAUAUAUAUAUGGGUCAUGUUCAAGAGACAAUCAUUAGAGAGAGAACCAUAGAACCCUUACCUUAUUUCUAGUAUUAGGUAGGGUUCUGCAGCAGAACUUAAGUAUUAGUUAGGGUUCUGCAGCAGAACUUCACAUGCAAAAAAAUGUUAAUAUCUAUGUAAUAUAUUUUAAAAUUAUUUUUGAACACACACAACGAUGAAAAAUCAUGAGCGCAACCCAUAUAUAUAUAUAUAUAUAUAUAUAUGUAUGUAUUUAUAUAUAUUUAUGCUAUCAACUUUUAUUUUUUGCUUUUCGUUUUAACAUUUUUUAGGGACCACAGAAAUUCUAACAUUGGUCCCUAUGAAAUCUGAUUGCCUUCCCUGGUUGUUCCCUUAAUAAUACUAUGUAACAUGUUUUCCUAGCGAAUAUUAGUUUAGUAUGCUAUUUUUGAAAUUGUGAAAUAUAUAUAUAGAAACUAAACCCUUCUUCUUUGACAACUUGCCAAAUCUCUGAGAAAUAGGGUAUAGUAUAUUGACGUCUAGGAGUUUAAUUUUUGUAGGAUAGUAGAUUUGGUAAUCGUUGCCUUCAACUUUUCCUUACAGAUGCCCAUUAUGAAACUGGUCAAGUGAUCCUUACUACAUGUCUCUCUCAACAAAGUAGGGCAUUUCACAUUAAAAGAGGGAAGAGUGGAGAUAUAGCACGAGGAAAGCGCAUUCAGAGUUUCAAAAGCCCGUGCUUACCAAAUAUCACCUUUUCUUUUGUUCUAAGAAGUUGAUUGAUCAUGUUCACUUAUCUAUACAUCAUACAUUGAGCAUUUUCAGUAAUACUGAGUAAAUUAUUGAUCUGUGAUUUUUUAUAUUUCUUUUGCCCUGCGCCUUUUCUUGCUAUGCGAUAUGGCCCCCUUUUUCCAGUAGUGUACGUACUUUUAUAGGGUUGCACAUUGGCCUUUUUAAGUUUGUCCAAAUGAACAUAUAAAGCCUCAAAGAAAUUUUCGGUGACUCUGUUCCCCUCAAGUUUGUUUUUUCUACAUCCCUGCCCUGUACGGGAUGCAGUACUAUAACUCCAACAUUAUUGAUAUUUCAUGACUCAUGAGUGUCGUCAACAUCAGGAACGACAGCAUCCAUUAUGCUGUCAUUGAGCUGUUUAGAAUCCAUAAUUCUUCCGUUCUUUUCUUUUGCAAAUACGGCAUAGUUUUUUGGUGUCACAAAUUGGAGUCUGCUUGAUGGACAUAUGUGGCAUAUGUUUCUAAAGCUCAUAUCAUGAUAUGCCAGAUAUUCCCAGGUUAACACCCAAGUGUUGAUGCUGCAUAAUUACUGAGAUAUUAUCUUGUUAAUACUUGCACAUGUCAAAUGUUACUUGACCCUUGUGCAUGUUCUUGGGUAUCACGACUUUUUAUCAUAUUAUUACACUUGAGUAUUAGAAAUCUAUAAAUGGAUAUAUCCUCCAAACAUAUUUGAAGGCUUUUUACAUCUCUUGCCCUUCACCAGGACCAUAUUUACGUUACACUGCCACUGAUACCACGCGUCCACUUCCUGUAAGCUUUCCUCACGUGCUCCUGUCUUCUAUUUUUUUAAACUGUUGCAAAUUGUCGCGCUGUCUAUUCUAAUUUGAGGCUCUGUCUAUGUAAUAUGUAUAUACUACUCCCUCUGUUUCAAAUUACAUGUCCACUUUAAAAAAAUCACAUAGUUUAAGAAAAGUUGAUUUUGGCAAAAAAGAGGUGUAAUAAGUCAUUAAUUGAACCUAAUGUGUGGUGUAUGGUUGAUCUUGGAAAUAUAAAUUUGAAAUAUGUGGAGGAGAGUUGAUUUUGGAAAUAUAACUUUACAUUGAAAGUUGAAGUGGACAAGUAUUUUGAAACAAUUUUUUUUUUCUAAAGUGGACAUGUAUUUUGAAACGGAGGUACUAUAUCUAUCUGAAGAAAUUUUUAGACCAUCUUAUCUAAUAUUGUAUAAUAUGGAAUCUUUGUACUACACCCUCUGUUCUCAAAUAAAUGACGUUUAACUUUUUGGGAUACAAUUUUAAGAGCAUUGAUCAUAUAUCUAAACUAAUUAUUUUUAAAAUAAAAAUAUAAAACUUAUACUUUAAUUCAUAAAAAGAAAAUUUGAAAAUAAUAAUUUUAGCUGAUACAAAUAGUCAAGCGUCAUUUUUUUGAAAACAGAAGGAGUAACAGUUAUACACGUUACCGGGGUUUGAUAACCCUAAUUAAUGUAUUCUUUGUUCCGUUUCAUAAUUUGGCCCGGGAGCUGUUCGUGCUGAUGCGCAUGACCGUCAUAACUUCAUCCCUGUGUGUUGGUGAUUAGUUUUGUUUUCUUUACACUCCAGCAAUAUUCAUAUUUCUAACAGAAGUUGUAUAUUAUGUGUUUAUCCUGAUUUUAUUUUUAUAUUUUGAUCUUUAUCUGUCUUGCUUAUGCCUUAUGGUAUUCUUUGACCAGAAUUAUUUUUUUUUUAUCCAUGUUACAUAUCCUCUUGAUGUGGUUUGAACUUGUCUUCCUUUUGACCUUAUGAUUAUUACAUCAUAGUCUCUAAGAAUGUUUUAUAAUUAACCAUUUCGCAAUGAAUUCUUAAAUUUCUUUUAGGUUCUUCAAAGAAUGGGACUCAUGGUAAGAAUUAUGGAUUAGCUGCUGGAUGUUCUCACUGUUGGGAUUAAAGACCGUCGUUCUCCACUUGCCAAUAUUACAAACUUGGUGCAAAGUACUGAUAAGGGCCUAUCAAGUUCUUUAAGAAAGAAGGUAUGACUUAUGCCGUAUGCAACUACCGCUCUUUGACCUUCAAUCUAAAACACUAUGUGUAUAGUGUUAAUGUGCCCCUUAAAAUGUUGUUAGGUUAAUGUUAACAGAGAGGGCCUUGGUUUGUAUACUUCAGAGAAUUUACAAGUUGAAUUUGUUCAAUUAUUAAUAUUAAAUUAUUAAUCAAUGUUAACCAAUAUUUAUUUUAUCAUAUUUUUAGAAGUAAUCAAAUAAAGCAACAUUUUUAUAUUUUUCCCUUAAGCUUAUCGAUUUGUUGGCACCGUUAGGAUGACAAGUCCGAUAAAAACUCCUGCUUUUACUAGGACAACCUUUACUGACAAUGCCACACUGCAGGAUAUUUUAAAAAGUAUUCAACAUGAUGUCAAUUGCAAGUGAUUUUGUAUUGACAGUAUUAGUCAAAGGGAACACGUUUUUUGAAUCUAAAUAAUGUAGCACAGACAAAGAAACUGAAGGUCUCACCCACGGAUAUCUCCUUACAGCAAAGUUGUUCGACUCCCUUACAGCCAUUGUUAAACAGAAGCAACACACCUUAUGCUCUGAAAUUUAAGUCUUGAAACACCAUCGGUAUGACUUAUGCCGUAUGCAACUACCGCUCUUUGACCUUCAAUCUACACUAUANAAAACACUAUGUGUAUAGUGUUAAUGUGCCCCUUAAAAUGUUGUUAGGUUAAUGUUAACAGAGAGGGCCUUGGUUUGUAUACUUCAGAGAAUUUACAAGUUGAAUUUGUUCAAUUAUUAAUAUUAAAUUAUUAAUCAAUGUUAACCAAUAUUUAUUUUAUCAUAUUUUUAGAAGUAAUCAAAUAAAGCAACAUUUUUAUAUUUUUCCCUUAAGCUUAUCGAUUUGUUGGCACCGUUAGGAUGACAAGUCCGAUAAAAACUCCUGCUUUUACUAGGACAACCUUUACUGACAAUGCCACACUGCAGGAUAUUUUAAAAAGUAUUCAACAUGAUGUCAAUUGCAAGUGAUUUUGUAUUGACAGUAUUAGUCAAAGGGAACACGUUUUUUGAAUCUAAAUAAUGUAGCACAGACAAAGAAACUGAAGGUCUCACCCACGGAUAUCUCCUUACAGCAAAGUUGUUCGACUCCCUUACAGCCAUUGUUAAACAGAAGCAACACACCUUAUGCUCUGAAAUUUAAGUCUUGAAACACCAUCGAGCCAAGUGCUUUUUACGGAUAAAGAUCAUGGGCCUGACAGACAUGAGAAAAGAACAUUGGAAGAAAUUGGUGUGUUCUGACAGUUUACUUUCNUUCAGAGAAUUUACAAGUUGAAUUUGUUCAAUUAUUAAUAUUAAAUUAUUAAUCAAUGUUAACCAAUAUUUAUUUUAUCAUAUUUUUAGAAGUAAUCAAAUAAAGCAACAUUUUUAUAUUUUUCCCUUAAGCUUAUCGAUUUGUUGGCACCGUUAGGAUGACAAGUCCGAUAAAAACUCCUGCUUUUACUAGGACAACCUUUACUGACAAUGCCACACUGCAGGAUAUUUUAAAAAGUAUUCAACAUGAUGUCAAUUGCAAGUGAUUUUGUAUUGACAGUAUUAGUCAAAGGGAACACGUUUUUUGAAUCUAAAUAAUGUAGCACAGACAAAGAAACUGAAGGUCUCACCCACGGAUAUCUCCUUACAGCAAAGUUGUUCGACUCCCUUACAGCCAUUGUUAAACAGAAGCAACACACCUUAUGCUCUGAAAUUUAAGUCUUGAAACACCAUCGAGCCAAGUGCUUUUUACGGAUAAAGAUCAUGGGCCUGACAGACAUGAGAAAAGAACAUUGGAAGAAAUUGGUGUGUUCUAACAGUUUACUUUCAGAGUAAUCAAUUGCUUGUUAAAAUUUCUUUCAUAUAUUUUUGUUUGAAUGUUCACCCUUCGGAAAAGUGACUAGAUAAUGUAUAAGGUAUGUUUUUUCAUAUUUAAUAUUAGAUUCGACCCAAUCCAUGUAUUGGUUAACCUUUAUUUUUGAAUGACGUUAAUGUGAGUUGAUCAGUGUCGGCCCUGGUCCAGUGCAGCCACACUAGGCCCAUUGGGUCGGGGAUCAUAAUUUUUAGCUGAUGUAGCGAAUGAGCUUGGACGGCUGAGAUGAAAGCCUGAAACAACGAAUGCUAGCGAUUGGAAUAAAUGAAAUCACAAUCCGAGUAAAGCCAAGAUACCCAUUCGGACUGUGCCACGUGCCCUUGUAAUACGAGUAUAUAUAUUUCCCAAGUAGAGAGACUAACCCUCGAUCUAUACACGCCGCCCCGUCUAUAGCUCUCCACUCUUCCUUCUCUGCAAAUCACCCAUCCGCCCUGCUUUCAGCAAAGGGUUGCCGUCUCUAUCCUGAAUAAAUGAGUAUAUUCACUUCCUUAAAAAUCUUAUUCUAAUCUUGCGCACACAUAAUUACAAUCUGUAUAUACUGUUACUAUUAAUCAAAGCAAGAAGUUAUAGAUAAGAUUUAUCUUGUUCAGCUAAUUAGUUGCAAGUCUAAUACAUAAUUGUUCUUUCUGCUAAUUGUCCUGUUUUACAUCUAAGGAAUUUCUGUUAUGCUCGAGGGAAUUAACUCUUAAAUAAAGAUGCUUGUGGGUGCUUGAUUUCAGAUUAUAAGGUGUCAAUAGUGAUUUGGGUUUUGCUGUUUUGAGUAAUAAUUCACAGAGCAUAGUAGCUGUAACACAUUAAGAAAAACACGCUAUUUAAGAAUAUAGAAAUGUUUUGCUAUGCAUAAGACUUUGUUCCAUGUACUAAACUGUUAUCCUGUCUUUAACCAUAUCGUAACAUAUUUCUGCUUUCUUUGGACAGAUUUAGGUUGCAACGAUAUGUCUCAGCCAGCUGAGGUUUCAUUUUUCACCUCUACCAAGGGCUAUGCUACCGAAAUUAAAGCAAAAAUGAACUACAAACCGAAAGAAAGAAAGCGGAUACAAUUGAGGUCAGUAGUGUGUGAUCAUUGUAUCAGGUAGGUGCAAUUAUUGCGAAACAGCAUAUUAUUGCAAUUUUGGAAACAAUGACAUUGCUUCAGUCAACAAUAUAAAAUUCGUUGCUGAAACUGCUACCUUAUUCUCAUAGCAAACACUAUUAGGGAUGAGAAUCUGCUAAUAGGGUAGCCUCGAGUCCUUUUUCCUGUGGAAGUUAAAACAAUAGCUAUAUAUUUGUGAAGAGAUUAUUAAUCAGUUAUGCUUAAAAUUCGAAUUUCAACUCUGCUCAAUCCUGUACACGGCCGAC
RNAcentral lists this long non-coding RNA (26163 nucleotides) under Daucus carota (carrot). Its description in RNAcentral is "long non-coding RNA (DCAR_LNC005835)". The record is from RNAcentral. Lineage: Eukaryota; Viridiplantae; Streptophyta; Magnoliopsida; Apiales; Apiaceae.